Haliotis rubra (blacklip abalone) is the source of this 891-nucleotide long non-coding RNA. RefSeq lists it as uncharacterized. The transcript is spliced from 2 exons. The record is from RefSeq and is a predicted model, not a curated record. Lineage: Eukaryota; Metazoa; Mollusca; Gastropoda; Lepetellida; Haliotidae.
GACAUCUCGUAAACACAGCAGCCUUUUACUAGUAUUAAUAGUAUUAAGAAGACGUCCUGGUGGCAGAAGUGGACCUUAAAAUCCCUCAGAGGCAGGCCGACUGCCAAGAAGAUAUUCCAUAGGCAGAUCUGGAUCAAGUACUCUUCUUGAGGCUUGCCGACUGCCAAAAAGCCAUCUCGUAGACACAUCAGCCUUUUACUACUAAAAGAUAAUGACAUAUGAACCCUUUUGUCUGUAUUUGCGCGCUGCUCACCUCCCUCAGCCGUCUCGCCAAAUGGAUGCAAGGUAUUCUUUGGAAUACGCAGGAGGGCGCAGACAUGGAACUGUCCCAUGACAGGAAGACAAAGCCUCGAUCCAGGCUGAACAUGGGACCUGUUAACCUUCAAUAACAACUUACCGUUCAAUGGAACAGUUUUCUUCUUCGGAACUCGGAUGGUGUCUUUACGUAUAAUACACCUGUGGAAUUUGUUUGGCUGCAGAGCCGUUAUAAAACUCAAGCAUGAAUUUUCAUAGGCUGGAUUAUGUGUAUGCGUAAUUGUUGAUAUAUUUUAUGACAAUGCAUUAUGCGUGUCUGCUACUGUAAACCCUCCAGUAGAUUAGGUAGUGCUGCAUACGUUGAGGGAACACGGUUCCAGAGCUUUCACGGUUCCAGAGCUUUUACUCUAAAAGAAGUUUUAUCUCUGGUUUUACGUGUCGGGCUUCAUCUACCUUCGGCCGUUUUCAAAUGUACAUCUAAAAUAUAUAUAUAUAUAUAUAUAUAUUAUAUGAUAACCUACGUGAUGCCGGUGUUUUUGUUUUGCAAUGUGUGUUGUUUAUGUUCGUGCAAAUAGAGAUACUGGUAUUGUAUCAUGUUGGGUAUGGUGACAAUAAACCGCACAGCUGGUCCAAUUG